GGAUCCUGGCUCAGGACGAACGCUGGCGGCGCGCCUAACGCAUGCAAGUCGAACGGAAUCAAGAGGAGCUUGCUUUUCUUGAUUUAGUGGCGAACGGGUGAGUAACGCGUGAGUAACCUGCCCUGGAGUGGGGGACAACAGUUGGAAACGACUGCUAAUACCGCAUAAGCCCACGGUACCGCAUGGCACUGAGGGAAAAGGAGCAAUCCGCUUUGAGAUGGCCUCGCGUCCGAUUAGCUAGUUGG
RNAcentral lists this ribosomal RNA (245 nucleotides) under uncultured bacterium. Its description in RNAcentral is "partial 16S ribosomal RNA". It matches the Rfam family "Bacterial small subunit ribosomal RNA", at positions 14 to 252 of the family's 1533-position model. The record is from RNAcentral.